This is a long non-coding RNA of Herpailurus yagouaroundi (jaguarundi), 1061 nucleotides long. RefSeq lists it as uncharacterized. The record is from RefSeq and is a predicted model, not a curated record. The transcript is spliced from 3 exons. NCBI's taxonomy places the organism in Eukaryota, Metazoa, Chordata, Mammalia, Carnivora, Felidae.
GAAGAGGUGAGGGCAAACGGAAAAUGCCAUGGAAGGCACUGCCCAGCACGGCCAGGGCCCAGAACCCUCCUCACAGCCUUCAUUCAUCUGCAGCCAGGCCCUGUGCUGGGCCCUGGGGAUGCAAAGUUAAAUGCACUGUCACGCCUGCCCUCCAGGAGCUCCCAGUCCAGCCGGGGAGGCUCUACAAACAGACCAUCACGGUACAGGAUGAGGCUUUCUUGGACAGACCUCUAUGAGACGUGAGGUCAACGGGGGCGGAUCGGUAUUUCUACCUGGUUUGAGAAGGAAGACUGAUGCCCAAAAGGAAGUCGUGUUCUCACAUGAAAUGCACCAGAGCCCCGAGGACACACUCGUGAGAGAAAUCAUCAGGACGGGUUCUGCAGUUCAAGACAAGACAGCGGCCCCAGUCCCGGUCUGAGAGAGAAGCGAACAGUGCAGCGGGGAGGCGACGUGAGGCGAUGCUCAAUGACACGGGCAGGAGGGGGCCUGCCCGCCCUCCCCAGCCCGCUCCUUCUCGGGCCUGCUGACGUGUCCUCUGCAGCCCUUGGGGGCAGUAGCCCAUCUGGGGCAGGGCGCGUACUCUCCAAACCUUAGUUUCUUCUUCCUAUGAAAAGCCGGCCUUGUAGGGCUGUGGGGAGAGUGAACAUGUUACACAGGAAGAGCUCCUAACACAGUGCCUGGCACACAAUAACCACUCAAGAAAUGCUUUCAACAACAGUAACUAACAGCGGGGGCGCCGGCUGGCUCGGCGGGUAGAGCGUGCCGCUCUUAAUCUCAGGGUCGUGAGUUCAAGCCCCAAGCUGGGCGUAGAGUUUCCUUAAAAAAUCGUAACCGUGAAUACUUAUGUCAGGAUAAUUUUAAGCCCUUCACGUACAGGACAAAUCUAAUCCCUCACAGCCCUGUAUGGCAAACUCCCUGAUUGUCUCCACCUCACAGAGGAGGACACUGAGGCACAGGGAGGUUCUGUAAAUAGCCCAUGGUCUGGGAGCUGGUAGAUCAGGGAUUCUGACUCUGGCUCCAGAGGUUAGCUGUGAAUAAAUAAAUUAACUAAUUCAAAAGUU